Non-coding RNA from Scleropages formosus (Asian bonytongue), 68 nucleotides. NCBI's taxonomy places the organism in Eukaryota, Metazoa, Chordata, Actinopteri, Osteoglossiformes, Osteoglossidae. The record is from the annotation of a RefSeq genome assembly.
GUUUCUGUAGUUGAAUGCAACAACGGUUUUUCAGGCCGUAGGUCUUGGUUGAAGUCCAGGUAGAAACA